This 450-nucleotide ribosomal RNA is filed under the name uncultured bacterium. Its description in RNAcentral is "partial 16S ribosomal RNA". It matches the Rfam family "Bacterial small subunit ribosomal RNA", at positions 338 to 795 of the family's 1533-position model. The record is from RNAcentral.
CCUACGGGCGGCUGCAGUAGGGAAUAUUGGGCAAUGGACGAAAGUCUGACCCAGCCAUGCCGCGUGCAGGAUGACUGCCCUAUGGGUUGUAAACUGCUUUUCUAUGGGAAGAAACACUCAUACGUGUAUGAACUUGACGGUACCAUAGGAAUAAGGAUCGGCUAACUCCGUGCCAGCAGCCGCGGUAAUACGGAGGAUCCAAGCGUUGUCCGGAUUCAUUGGUGCGAAAGGGUGCGACGACGGCAUACUUGAAAUCUUGCGGCUCAACCGUAAAAUUGCCUUUGAAACUGGGAGUCUUGAGUUCGGUCGAGGUGGAUGGAAUGUGGCAUGUAGCGGUGAAAUGCUUAGAUAUGACCCAGAACACCAAUUGCGAAGGCAGUUCACUAGACCGAGACUGACGCUGAGGCACGAAAGCGUGGGGAGCGAACAGGAUUAGAUACCCUAGUAGUC